AAAACUUUGGAGAGAGAGUCAAAGAGACCGCGAAACCGUUGGGAGGGAAACGAAUGUAGCCAUGAAGACUCCACUCAGGUUCAUGGCGCCGUGGAGUGAGUGUUGCCGUCGGCGUGAGUUCCUCUGGUGCCCGUCCGUGGCAAGCUUGCCGAGGCGUCUGCAAUCCCGUUUGGAGUCCGCCAACGGCGGUUGUCUGCGGUCCAGCAGGGUUGGAGGGAGGUGCCUCCACCUCGUGAUUCGUCUCGGGGAGGAGAACGUAUAGCCUCCGGCCUGGUGACCGGAGACGGCCGAGGAGAGUUGCGACCCUUCGCACCGUGCAGUGCAGACUCCUUUGGGGGCCGGGUCGCUUGUGAGCUUGCGUUCUUCGCGGCGAGAUACUGCGUNCAGUGCUCGUUGACGUAAAGGGCGCUCGCCCGCUAGGUCGCCCACGAUGUGCACUGUAGUCGUUG
Molecule: ribosomal RNA, 449 nt
Filed under: Axechina raspailioides
Lineage: Eukaryota; Metazoa; Porifera; Demospongiae; Axinellida; Raspailiidae
Description: eukaryotic LSU rRNA
Source: RNAcentral